ACCUUUCAAAUCAGGGUGCGGCGCGGCCCCCGAGGAGCGGAAACAAUCCUUGGGAGGUAUGCGGGGGCUUCGAGCCCCCCAUUUACGCACGCACGACUGCCAUCCUUACUUUACGAGCACCUUCUGUUCUCCCUCGGCGGGGCAACCUGCCGUUGGAAUCGAAUAAACUCUUUUUGCAUCUAGCAUUACCUGUUCCGAAACAAACAAUCGUUA
This 213-nucleotide unclassified non-coding RNA is filed under the name soil metagenome. RNAcentral describes it as "partial internal transcribed spacer 1". The record is from RNAcentral.